This 442-nucleotide ribosomal RNA is filed under the name uncultured bacterium. RNAcentral's name for it is "bacterial SSU rRNA". It matches the Rfam family "Bacterial small subunit ribosomal RNA", at positions 53 to 527 of the family's 1533-position model. The record is from RNAcentral.
ACAUGCAAGUCGAACGAGAAAGUGGAGCAAUCCAUGAGUACAGUGGCGUACGGGUGAGUAACACGUGACUAACCUACCCUCGAGUGGGGAAUAACUUCGGGAAACCGAGGCUAAUACCGCAUAAUGUCUACGGACCAAAUGCGUAAGCAGCUCGAGGAGGGGGUCGCGGCUGAUUAGCUUGUUGGCGGGGUAACGGCCCACCAAGGCAAUGAUCAGUAGCCGGCCUGAGAGGGCGCACGGCCACACUGGAACUGAAACACGGUCCAGACUCCUACGGGAGGCAGCAGUGGGGAAUUUUGCGCAAUGGGGGAAACCCUGACGCAGCAACGCCGCGUGGAGGAUGAAGCCCCUUGGGGUGUAAACUCCUUUCGAUCGGGACGAUUAUGACGGUACCGGAUGAAGAAGCACCGGCUAACUCUGUGCCAGCAGCCGCGGUAAUACA